AGGUGGGCAGCCCUAACCAUGCAAGUCGAACGAAGGCUUCGGCCUUAGUGGCGCACGGGUGCGUAACGCGUGGUAAUUUAGAGUUAGGNACGGAAUAACUCAGGGAAACUUGAGCUCCUUUCGUAUAAUGACUCCGGUCCAAAGAUUUAUCGCCUGAGGAUGAGCCCGCGUCGGAUUAGCUAGUUGGUGAGGUCCAAGCUCACCAAGGCGACGAUCCGUAGCUGGUCUGAGAGGAUGAUCAGCCACACUGGGACUGAGACACGGCCCAGACUCCUACGGGAGGCAGCAGUGGGGAAUAUUGGACAAUGGGCGAAAGCCUGAUCCAGCAAUGCCGCGUGAGUGAUGAAGGCCUUAGGGUUGUAAAGCUCUUUUACCCGGGAUGAUAAUGACAGUACCGGGAGAAUAAGCCCCGGCUAACUCCGUGCCAGCAGCCGCGGUAAUACGGAGGGGGCUAGCGUUGUUCGGAAUUACUGGGCGUAA
Molecule: ribosomal RNA, 480 nt
Filed under: uncultured bacterium
Lineage: Bacteria
Description: bacterial SSU rRNA
Rfam family: Bacterial small subunit ribosomal RNA
Source: RNAcentral